This 429-nucleotide ribosomal RNA is filed under the name uncultured bacterium. RNAcentral's name for it is "bacterial SSU rRNA". It matches the Rfam family "Bacterial small subunit ribosomal RNA", at positions 355 to 776 of the family's 1533-position model. The record is from RNAcentral.
UGGGGAAUAUUGCACAAUGGGGGAAACCCUGAUGCAGCCAUGCCGCGUGUGUGAAGAAGGCCUUCGGGUUGUAAAGCACUUUCAGCGAGGAGGAAAGGGUGUAAGUUAAUACCUUACAUCUGUGACGUUACUCGCAGAAGAAGCACCGGCUAACUCCGUGCCAGCAGCCGCGGUAAUACGGAGGGUGCGAGCGUUAAUCGGAAUUACUGGGCGUAAAGCGUGCGCAGGCGGUUUGUUAAGCGAGAUGUGAAAGCCCCGGGCUCAACCUGGGAACCGCAUUUCGAACUGGCAAACUAGAGUCUUGUAGAGGGGGGUAGAAUUCCAGGUGUAGCGGUGAAAUGCGUAGAGAUCUGGAGGAAUACCGGUGGCGAAGGCGGCCCCCUGGACAAAGACUGACGCUCAGGCACGAAAGCGUGGGGAGCAAACAGG